This 504-nucleotide ribosomal RNA is filed under the name uncultured bacterium. RNAcentral describes it as "bacterial SSU rRNA". It matches the Rfam family "Bacterial small subunit ribosomal RNA", at positions 8 to 526 of the family's 1533-position model. The record is from RNAcentral.
AGAGUUUGAUCAUGGCUCAGGACGAACGCUGGCGGCGUGCUUAACACAUGCAAGUCGAACGAUUCCAUGCUUUCGGGUGUGGUUUAGUGGCGAACGGGUGAGUAACACGUGGGCAACCUGCCCUCCACUCUGGGAUAACUCCGGGAAACCGGGGCUAAUACUGGAUAUGACUUGGGGUCGCAUGGCUCUGGGUGGAAAGUUUUUCGGUGGAGGAUGGGCCCGCGGCCUAUCAGCUUGUUGGUGGGGUGAUGGCCUACCAAGGCGGUGACGGGUAGCCGGCCUGAGAGGGCGACCGGCCACACUGGGACUGAGACACGGCCCAGACUCCUGCGGGAGGCAGCAGUGGGGAAUAUUGCACAAUGGGCGAAAGCCUGAUGCAGCGACGCCGCGUGAGGGAUGACGGCCUUCGGGUUGUAAACCUCUUUCAGCAGGGACCAAGGCUUCGGUUGAGUGUACCUGCAGAAGAAGCACCGGCUAACUACGUGCCAGCAGCCGCGGUAAUAC